This 2007-nucleotide long non-coding RNA is filed under the name Sorghum bicolor (sorghum). RNAcentral's name for it is "long non-coding RNA (SBIC_LNC005946)". The record is from RNAcentral. Lineage: Eukaryota; Viridiplantae; Streptophyta; Magnoliopsida; Poales; Poaceae.
CCAGAGGCUUGAGAGAGACCAUUGAGGAACUCAAAGAGGGAGGUCUUCUCCUCUUCUUUGCAGGAGAUGGCAGGAGAGGCCAAGGAGAGAAAUAACACAAGAGCAACACCAAGUAAAGGUAUGUGUAGCAUUUCUGAUUUUCUGUUGUUGCAUGAAUACUGGAGCGGCUGCAUGGUCUUUUGCAUGAAAGAAGGUAGGACCCUGCGAAGACUUCACUGCUAUAUAAAACAGUGGCAAACAGAAUAUUGAAAAGCUUGCAAGGAUGUUGACCCCAUAUUGCUUUUGCACCUUGUUUUGUCAUGAUUAGAUGUUUGUAGCCUUUCUGCAAUUACACGUUCUGAUAUCUAGGUUCAUAUGAGCAUCCUUCUUUUUUAUGGUAACACUGUGAGUUCUGACUCUAGGUUUCAACCCUUUUUUGUGGUUUCUUAAUCUUUGUUCCCUAAUGAUUAGUGAUCAUGUAAUACUGGAAGAAAAGCACUGCAGAUCUGCAAGGUUGUAUUGUUACUUCAUUUGCUAAAGUCAUAGACUAUUUGCAGUGCAUAUUUGGUAUUUCAUUUGCAAGAGCCAUGAAGACUAUCUGCUCUAUAUGCAGGGUUGUAUUGGCAUUUCAUCUGUUGGUUUUAUAAAAUCUAAACCUCGUAAUAUUUUUGUUCAUUUUCUAAUGUUUUUUUUCCUGGGAUGUGAACUGUACUGAUUCACCAAAACAUAUUAUAUAGUUGUAGUGAAAUGCUGACCGAAUCAAUUGGAAUAUGGAUGCACCCCUGUUGAGAGAUUUGGGAAGAAAGUGAGUACAAGAUAGCCCUGUAGUUCCCAUGCUGAUAUAAGGGGAACCAUGAUGCUUGAGUGGACGCAUGACAUACACGUAUGUUCUUCUAAACUUUGCAAAUGUUGCUUUUUCUGAAGCAUAUUAUGCAACACAGGAUAUAAGUUGGUAACAAGAUAUCUUUAACAGUGGCGCCAGCAGCCAGCCCUAUGCUGGCAAGUGAACUCCGGGUGAUGACCAUUCUAACAGUAGGAUCACCAAGUGGAGCUUAGCGUGACACACCUAUCCUGAUCUGAUCUGGUCUGAUCUGAUCUGCUUUUGAAAAAGAGGAUAUUCGUUCACGAUCCACAUGAACACAUCUUCUGCCCACGACGUGUUUCGUCUCUGACCUAUUGAUCAAGACAGGUCCAGCCUUCGUCUCUCCACCCCUGUGCAGGCUGGCCAUGUAUUCUUCUCACCGAGUGUCGUGUGGAUAUGGCAUCCGGUACUCUGAGUUUCAUUGAUAAAUUGGUUCAUUUAAAACUUUGUAUCUGCCCACUGACCCACGGAUAGGAUAUACUCAACCCAUCACAAUUUAUAAGACGUUUGACUUUUUUGACACUAAGUUUAACCACUAACGAGUGGUCAAAGUUAGGAUAAAAAAGUCAAACGUCUUAUAAUUUGGAAUGGAGGGGAGUACUUCUGUAGCUGAAUUGACAACCAGGGAUCAUAUGCCAAAGGAAGAGAAAAUGACCUGUCCAAUUGGUACAACGAGUUUUUAUUCUUUUCUUCUUCCUCUUCCUCUUCCUCUUCCUCCUCUUCUUUGAGAACCUUCUGUUGAUUCCUGUUACUUUUCCCUUUUGCAGAUCAUGGACAGUUGGUUCCCACUAGUUAUCCAUCACAUGCUUUUAGCUUUUGGAGUCAUGGUGGAAGGAAUGGAGGAUGAGCAAAUAUCCUUGAGCUGACAUUCCUUGAUAUUGAGCUCGUUUCAGACACGCACAAUACACAAAGUUGCAAAUACUAAACGGUCGAUAAAUUUACGUCCUUUGGCUGCCACAAGACCUGCAUUCUCCUCCGGUCUAAAGAGUGUCAUUUAGAUUUUGCACAAUUAACAUAUUAAACCUUUGGUUGUCGAUACCCUGUUGAAAAAUUGAACUUUGAAAAUGAUGUCUCUAGAUUUGUCUUGAAAAGUAUUUUGAAAACAUUAAAAUUUGGCAAAAAUUUGGAGGGGCAUUCUAAAAAGGUGGCUAUUGCUAGCGAACACA